CAGCAUAUAUCUUCCGAAGACAAGAAUGGUCCCUUCCAUUACAAUGAAUUAAAAAUACAGAGAAAUUAACUUUGACUUGAUAGGGCUAUCUAAUCUACAGGCCGUAUUCAGAUUUCACCAGUUGCCAUAGUAAAUGUCUUCACAUCGGUUUUCCCCCUGAUCCGGAAUGCAGUCCAGGACCCUGUGUUGCAUUGAAUUGUCAUGUCUCUUUAAGCUCCUUCAGUCUGGAGCACUUCGUCCCACUUUCCUGGUCUUCCACAACAUUGGCACUUUUGAAGACUUCAGGCCAGUUGUCUUUCAGUACGAAUUAGAUUCAAGUUAUGCAUUUCGGGCAGAGAUUCAAGAUGAAUGGUCUUGCGAUGGCUGUGGCUGAGGUUGCGGUGGUUGCUGCUGUUCCAUAACCCCAGGUGUCGUCCGGUGUCUGGGGCGUAAAUACCUCGAAUCCGGCCGCAACCGACCACCUCUCUGACCGCUCACGAAGGCUGCGUUUGUCGGUCCACCUUUAAGUACAGCUGCGUUCCAAAUCAUGCCUUCCGUUGGCUGAACCUCCCCGCAUAAACCAAAAUGUUCGGUGACAUGAUAUUUUCGCAGACUACGGUCAACAUAAUCGGCGGAAAUAAAUGCACUAAGCAACACCUCUUGGGAGCCGUCUAUUCCCAUUGUGGGCCAGCUUCAAAUCCGAAGUGGAGUGAUCAGCCCAAAUGUCCGCAGUUCGGUGGCAUGACGAAAAGAAAAUACUUAUUCAACACGAGUGAAUUUCCUUAAGCAUUGUGAAAAGAUUGCUGUCAACAAGCUGUAUCUCAAGCCACUUUAACUUCUAAAAUCCUGCUCCCGAUUUAGAGCAGCUGCCCUGGGAAAUGGCAUCCAUACGAUGUCCAAAGAGACAUCCCUGCCUCUUAACUAAAUAAAAACCGAAACAAGCAUUCUCGGCUGGUUAUAGAGUAAAACGUGACCUGCGUUCCAUCCGUAAAGAGA
Molecule: long non-coding RNA, 975 nt
Organism: Neofelis nebulosa (Clouded leopard)
Lineage: Eukaryota; Metazoa; Chordata; Mammalia; Carnivora; Felidae
Exons: 3
Source: RefSeq, a predicted model, not a curated record